Molecule: ribosomal RNA, 523 nt
Filed under: Kirchenpaueria pinnata
Lineage: Eukaryota; Metazoa; Cnidaria; Hydrozoa; Leptothecata; Kirchenpaueriidae
Description: partial 16S ribosomal RNA
Source: RNAcentral
CUUCUGCAUCGAAAGGAAACUUUAAUUCAACAUCGAGGUGACAAACCUUAUCUUUGAUAUCAUCUCUUCAAUAAGAUUAUCCUGUUAUCCCUAAAGUAGCUUUUAUUUAAUAAUCGUUAAAUAUUUUUUUUUUACUUUAACGGGUCAUUCAUCCAUUUUAUGACUGUUAAAAUUAUUUUUUAUACAGUAAUUUUUUUAUAUUCUUUUUUUUUAAAAUAUCGGGGCCCAAACUAAACUACCUUACUCUAUAUAUCUUUACAUACUAUGGAAUUAUAGAAUUAUAGUUAAGCUUUAUAGGGUCUUCUCGUCUUACAAUUUUAAAUAGUAUCUUGACUAUUAUUCAAAUUUUAUUGGAUUUUUUUUUAAGACAGUGAAAUUCUCGUUUAACCAUUCAUACUAUCCGCUAAUUAAGCGGCUCUUUAUUGUGCUACAUUAUCACAGUCAGGAUACUGCGGCCGUUGAAUUUUUUCAAAGAAGGUUUAUUUUCUUAGUAAUAUAAUCACUGGGCAGGUUUCACCUUAAA